AGAUUCUGGACGGAUCGUUUCUCCUUUGCUUUAUUGUGGAUGCCGAGGCACAGCUGUACAAAUUAAUGCGGGAUUGUGACGUGGACUUUAGGCAAAAUUUAAGAGCGUAUGACUCGCCAAAACUUGCUCUUGGGGGUUGUGUUGACGGUUUCGCGGCAGGAAGAUGGAAAAGGCCGCUUGUGCGGGGUGGAGCGUUUCGGCGCAAUUAAGAGACCGCCACCGCCCUCCGCGGAAAGGGCCGGAAACCCGAAACCCUAAUGGGAGAUAUCGAGUAAGGCCAUGCCACGUCCCUCUGCUUAUUCUCUUCUUCACCUUUGUCGCUGCAUGCAGCGGAGAACAAUAGCACAGUUGACGGAACCGCUGGCCGACCAGAUACCGAUAUGUGUUUCAUCCCCGGUAUUCAAACUUUAUUUCGUCUGGUCUAUCGCAUCAUCUCGGAUGCCGAAACAGAAAACUACUCCAGCAGAACUCUCACUAUUCUAACCCUAAGAUUCUUCUGGUUAUGGGAUGUACAAAUAAGAUUGUAAUUUUUGAAAUGAUGCUUCAGGUGAGACCCUCUUACAUAUAUAAUAGCUUGCUCACAACACCGACAAACCUUUUCACAAGACAAAUUUGUGCCAUCGUUUCUCUCCACAUUAGAUAGUUUUUGGCUUUGACUUAGGAUCAGAUCCCAUAAACUUCUCCAUAAUUAUGUAUCUAAUGAGCUAUGGUUGAGCUGUCAGUGAUAUUUUAUUCUAAUUUCCAAAAUGCAAGUGUGUUUUGAUUUGUGGCAUGGAAUCUCUAACAUAUUUGACUUUGCCGACUUCUUGGCUCAUAAGCUCAAUGAGCAUGUUUAUGAAGUACAAUGGAUAUAUAAUUCAUCUGCCUAA
This is a long non-coding RNA of Dendrobium catenatum, 869 nucleotides long. RefSeq lists it as uncharacterized. Lineage: Eukaryota; Viridiplantae; Streptophyta; Magnoliopsida; Asparagales; Orchidaceae. The transcript is spliced from 2 exons. The record is from RefSeq and is a predicted model, not a curated record.